AGCAGCCGCGGUAAUACGGAGGGUGCGAGCGUUAAUCGGAAUUACUGGGCGUAAAGCGCACGUAGGCGGUUCUGUAAGUGGGAUGUGAAACCCCCGGGCUUAACCUGGGACUUGCAUACCAGACUGCAAAGCUAGAGUAUGAGAGAGGGUGGUGGAAUUUCCGGUGUAGCGGUGAAAAUGCGUAGAGAUCGGAAGGAACAUCAGUGGCGAAGGCGGCCACCUGGCUUAAUACUGACGCUGAGGUGCGAAAGCGUGGGGAUCAAACAGGAUUAGAUACCCUGGUAGUCCACGCCGUAAACGAUGAGAACUAGCCGUUGGAUUCCUUAGAGGAUUUAGUGGCGCAGCUAACGCGAUAAGUUCUCCGCCUGGGGAGUACGGCCGCAAGGUUAAAACUCAAAUGAAUUGACGGGGG
Molecule: ribosomal RNA, 412 nt
Filed under: uncultured bacterium
Lineage: Bacteria
Description: bacterial SSU rRNA
Rfam family: Bacterial small subunit ribosomal RNA
Source: RNAcentral